AUGAAAACUACACCAUUAAAUAGGUGGGAUUUUUACAUCAUUUUUGGAACUGGAAUUAUUGUAUUUGGAUUAAUAUUUAAUCCUGUGGAAUUUUUGGAAAACGAAAAGAAAAAGAAAAAGAGAAAGGGUAGUCUAAACCUUGAAAGUCUAAACUACGGGUACAUCACACUCAUACCUAAAAUCAGAGCACCAGAAACUGUCAACGACUUCCGGCCCAUCACAUUGCUUAACUGCUGUCUCAAACUUAUCAGCAAGAUUCUAGCCAACCGUCUUCAAAGGGUGAUCUUAAAAAUUGUACGCAAUAAUCAGUAUGGGUUUUUGAAGGGGAGAUCCAUCCAUGACUGCCUUGCAUGGGCCUUUGAAUACAUACAUCAAUGCCAAGCUUCUAAACGUGAAAUUAUCCUUCUCAAACUAGACUUUGCCAAGGCAUUCGAUACUGUGGAACAUGAUGCCAUCAUCCAAAUUAUGAGAAGCAUGGGGUUCAAUGAUAAAUGGUUGUCCUGGAUCACGAGCCUUUCCUCUUCGGGUAAAUCCUCUGUCUUGCUUAACGGAGUCCCUGGUAAGCAAUUUUGGUGUAAGUGCGGGGUGCGACAAGGGGACCCUCUUUCUCCCCUCAUUUUUGUCCUUGCCGCGGACUUGCUUCAGGCAGCUAUCAAUGAGGCCUUGGAGGAAAAUCGCCUGCAACUACCUAUCCCUGCCUCCAGCACGGCCAAAUUUCCUGUGAACUAA
This 729-nucleotide ribosomal RNA is filed under the name Triticum aestivum (bread wheat). RNAcentral's name for it is "partial small subunit ribosomal RNA". The record is from RNAcentral. Lineage: Eukaryota; Viridiplantae; Streptophyta; Magnoliopsida; Poales; Poaceae.